GGUCAAGCUACAAAGUGUCUAUGCACGGAUGACUUGGUUAGGUGAGGCGAUGAAGGACGCGGUAAGCAGCGAUAUGCUUCGGGUAGCCGCAAACAGGCUUUGAUCCGAAGAUCUCCGAAUGGGGCAACCCUUCCGGUGUUACAGCCGGAAACCCUGCUAUGAAUACAUAGUAGUAGGGAGCGAACGGGACGAAUUGAAACAUCUAAGUAAGCCCAGGAAAAGAAAUCGAAUGAGACUCCCCUAGUAGCGGCGAGCGAAAAGGGACGAGCCUAAACCUGAGUUUGCCCUCGCAAGAGGAUAGAUUCAGGGGUUGUGGGACUCCGAUAUGGUAGUCGAGGGGAUAGCAGAAAUGCCUGGAAAGGCAUGCCAAAGAGGGUGAAAGCCCCGUAAGCGAAAUUCUGACGACGCCUAGGAGUAUCCCAAGUACCACGGGACACGGGAAAUCCUGUGGGAAUCCAGGCUGACCACAGUCUAAGGCUAAAUACUACACCUAAACCGAUAGCGCACAAGUACCGUGAGGGAAAGUUGAAAAGAACCACGGGAGGGGAGUGAAAUAGAACCUAAAUUCAUAGACAUACAAAGCGAUGGAAGGCCUAUACCCAGGCCGCAAGGCGUGGGGAUGGCUGACCGUGUACCUUUUGCAUAAUGGUCCGACGAGUUGUUGUUGUAAGCGAGUUUAAGUGUUCCGUGAAAGCGUAACACGAAGGCGCAGGGAAACCGAGUCCUAACCGGGCGAUUUAGCUUGCAAUAACAGACCCGAAGCUGAGUGAUCUACCCAUGAGCAGGGGGAAGUUCAGAGAAAUCUGGAUGGACGUCCGAACCCUUCAGCGUUGAAAAACUGUGGGAUGACUUGUGGGUUGGAGCGAAAGACUAAACAAACUCAGAAAUUGCUGGUUCUCCCCGAAACAAUUCUAGGGUUCGCCUCAAGACACUACAUUAUAGGGGUAGAGUGCUGAAUGGACUACGGGACGCUACCGCGUUGCUGAGUCCAACCAAACUCCGAAUACUAUAAUGACUAUCUUGGGAGUAAGACGCUGGGGGCCAAGCUCCGGCGUCAAAAGGGAAUCAGCCCAGACCACCAGCUAAGGUCCCUAAUAAUAAGCUAAGUUGUAAAGGAUGUGGAUUCGCUAAUACAGCCAGGAUGUUGGCUCAGAGGCAGCCAUCAUUUAAAGAGUGCGUAACAGCUCACUGGCCGAGCGAUUCCGCGCCUAAGAUGAACGGGGAUCAAGCUUAUAACCGAAGCUGUGGGUUUUAACCGUCUUCGGACGGAUAGAGCGGUAGGGGAGCAUUGUUCAGUUGGUUGAAGCUGUACCGUGAGGAGCAGUGGACACUGAACAAGGGAUUAUGUCGGAAUGAGUAGCGAAAACGUCUGCGAGAAACAGACGCGCCGAAAGUCGAAGGUUUCCUGGGGAAGGUUAAUCCACCUAGGGUUAGUCGUGCCUAAGCUGAGGCCAAGUGGCGUAAGCGAUGGAUGAUCUGUUAAUACUCAGAUACUAGCUUGUUGGCGUUAAAACUUUUUAUGUGACGUAGGAGGACUAGGUUUGCGGGGUGUUGGAUGUCCCCGUUCUUGCCCGAGUAAUCGGAUGAGGGGACCCUGAGGUUUCCGAGGGGGAAGUUGACUACGACCACACUGCCGAGAAAAGCAUAAAAAGGAGUUGACAAGUUACACGUACCGGAAUCCGACACAGGUAGACCACCAGAAUAUGGUAAGGCGCUCGAGAUAACCCUCUUUAAGGAACUCGGCAAUCUAGCCGCGUAAGUUCGCAACAAGCGGUGCCCUUUUGUCGCAAGGCUGAAGGGUCUCAGUAAAGUGGUCCGGGUGACUGUUUAGCAAAAACACAUCUCUAUGCAAACUCGAAAGAGGACGUAUAUGGAGUGACACCUGCCCAGUGCUGGAAGGUUAAGGGAAUCUGUCAGUGGGAGUAAUCCUGUCGAAGCGGUGAACCGAAGCCCCAGUAAACGGCGGCCGUAACUAUAACGGUCCUAAGGUAGCGAAAUUCCUUGUGGGGUAAGUUCCCACGCGCACGAAUGGUGUAACAACCUGGACGCUGUCUCAAAGAGGGACUCGGCGAAAUUGUAGUGGCGGUGAAGAUGCCGUCUACCCGCAUCAAGACGAAAAGACCCCAGAACCUUUACUGCAGCCUACUAUUGGAUUUUGGUUUAACAUGUGUAGCAUAGGUGGGAGGCUUCGAAGCCAUGGCGCUAGCUGUGGCAGAGCCACAAUGUGAAAUACCACCCUUGUUGGAUUAAAAUUCUAACCUUCUUCCCUGAAUCGGGGGAGGGGACAGUGAUAGGCGGGCAGUUUGACUGGGGCGGUUCCCUUCUAAAAAGUAACAAAGGGGCCCAAAGGUUGGCUCAGGCCGGUCGGCAAUCGGCUGUGGAGUGUAAGCGCAUAAGCCAGCUUGACUGCAAGUCGGACACGACACGCAGAUACGAAAGUAGGGGCUAAUGAUCCGGUGGUGAAAUGUGGAAUUGCCAUCGCUCAACGGAUAAUAGGUACUCUGGGGAUAACAGGCUUAUCGGGCUCGAGAGUUCACAUCGACAGCCCGGUUUGGCACCUCAACAUAAACAUGGGGUGGUACGGGAGUAAUUCUGUACAUGCAUUGGCUAAUAACGGUGGAACCCGGAAAUAUGGGUAAUACCGUGGGAAGUCUUAAAAAGCAUAAGCAGUUAUUUCAAUGGUCUUUUCUCUUGGUGACAAUUAAUCAGAACAUAUAUGGCUGAUAACUUAACGCUCAAACUGUGUCUAUUAUGGAUAGUUGCGUUUAAUGUUAUUAAGAGUAUGAUUGUUAGUUAAUUCGUUGCCUAGAGAGACCAUGUUUUUUAAGACCCCGUAACGACUGAUCUUGUCGACACACAAUCCGAGUGUCAUAAAGACGAGAGAGAUAGCAACCGGCAGUAAGCAUGCGGUUCUAUAAUACGCCAACUCCGCUAUAAUUGCAGCGGAUGAAGAUAUAGUCUAAUACCACGCGAAAGCGUGGAUCAUAUUGCGAUGUCGGCUCAUCCUAUCCUGGGGCUGGAUAAGGUCCCAAGGGUCCGGCUGUUCGCCGGUUAAAAGGGUACGCGAGCUGGGUUCAGAACGUCGUGAGACAGUUCGGUCUCUAUCUGGUGCGGGCGCAAGAUAUUUGAAGAGGAGUUCUCCACAGUACGAGAGGACCUGGAGAAACGGACCUCUGGUGUUCCGGUUGUCCUGCCAAGGGCAAGGGCCGGGUAGCUAUGUUCGUAAGGGAUAAGCGCUGAAAGCAUCUAAGUGCCAAGCCCCCCUCAAGACUUGAUAUCUCUGGACCGCAAGGUCCUGUAGGCACCCCGGAGACUACGGGGUUGAUAGGCGUGAUGUGUAAGGUCCGUAAGGAUUUUAGCUAACACGUACUAAUAUGCCAACCGGCUUGACCUU
Molecule: ribosomal RNA, 3394 nt
Filed under: Candidatus Omnitrophota bacterium
Lineage: Bacteria; Pseudomonadati; Candidatus Omnitrophota
Description: 23S ribosomal RNA
Rfam family: Bacterial large subunit ribosomal RNA
Source: RNAcentral